RNAcentral lists this transfer RNA (77 nucleotides) under Bryobacterales bacterium. Its description in RNAcentral is "tRNA-Arg". It matches the Rfam family "tRNA". Rfam says of the family: Transfer RNA (tRNA) molecules are approximately 80 nucleotides in length. Lineage: Bacteria; Pseudomonadati; Acidobacteriota; Terriglobia; Bryobacterales. The record is from RNAcentral.
GCGCCCGUAGCUCAGCUGGAUAGAGUGUCUGCCUCCGGAGCAGAAGGCCGCAGGUUCGAGUCCUGCCGGGCGCGCCA